RNAcentral lists this ribosomal RNA (1298 nucleotides) under uncultured marine bacterium. RNAcentral's name for it is "bacterial SSU rRNA". It matches the Rfam family "Bacterial small subunit ribosomal RNA", at positions 29 to 1395 of the family's 1533-position model. The record is from RNAcentral.
ACGUACGCUGGCGGCACGCCUAACACAUGCAAGUCGAGCGGGGUAGCAAUACCUAGCGGCAGACGGGUGCGUAACAUGUGGGAAUCUGCCUUUUGGUUCGGAACAACAUGGGGAAACCUGUGCUAAUACCGGAUAAGUCCUAACGGAGAAAGUUUUAAUGCCAAAAGAUGAGCCCGCAUUUGAUUAGCUUGUUGGUGAGGUAAAAGCUCACCAAGGCUAUAAUCAAUAGCUGAUUUGAGAGGAUGAUCAGCCACACUGGGACUGAGAUACGGCCCAGACUCCUACGGGAGGCAGCAGUGGGGAAUCUUAGACAAUGGGCGCAAGCCUGAUCUAGCCAUGCCGCGUGAGUGACGAAGGUCUUAGGAUCGUAAAGCUCUUUCGCCAGAGAUGAUAAUGACAGUAUCUGGUAAAGAAACCCCGGCUAACUCCGUGCCAGCAGCCGCGGUAAUACGGAGGGGGUUAGCGUUGUUCGGAAUUACUGGGCGUAAAGCGUACGUAGGCGGAUUGGAAAGUAGGGGGUGAAAUCCCAGGGCUCAACCCUGGAACUGCCUCCUAAACUAUCAGUCUAGAGUUCGAGAGAGGUGAGUGGAAUUCCCAAGUGUAGAGGUGAAAUUCGUAGAUAUUUGGAGGAACACCAGUGGCGAAGGCGGCUCACUGGCUCGAUACUGACGCUGAGGUACGAAAGUGUGGGGAGCAAACAGGAUUAGAUACCCUGGUAGUCCACACCGUAAACGAUGAAUGCCAGUCGUCGGGGAGCUUGCUCUUCGGUGACACACCUAACGGAUUAAGCAUUCCGCCUGGGGAGUACGGUCGCAAGAUUAAAACUCAAAGGAAUUGACGGGGGCCCGCACAAGCGGUGGAGCAUGUGGUUUAAUUCGACGCAACGCGCAGAACCUUACCAACCCUUGACAUCCUUGGACCGCUAGAGAGAUCUAGUUUUCUCGUAAGAGACCAAGUGACAGGUGCUGCAUGGCUGUCGUCAGCUCGUGUCGUGAGAUGUUCGGUUAAGUCCGGCAACGAGCGCAACCCACAUCUUUAGUUGCCAUCAGGUUAAGCUGGGCACUCUAGAGAAACUGCCCGUGAUAAGCGGGAGGAAGGUGUGGAUGACGUCAAGUCCUCAUGGCCCUUACGGGUUGGGCUACACACGUGCUACAAUGGCAUCAACAAUGGGUUAAUCCCUAAAAGAUGUCUCAGUUCGGAUUGGGGUCUGCAACUCGACCCCAUGAAGUUGGAAUCGCUAGUAAUCGCGUAACAGCAUGACGCGGUGAAUACGUUCCCGGGCCUUGUACACACCGCCC